This 641-nucleotide unclassified non-coding RNA is filed under the name Hevea brasiliensis (rubber tree). Lineage: Eukaryota; Viridiplantae; Streptophyta; Magnoliopsida; Malpighiales; Euphorbiaceae. The record is from RNAcentral.
AAAUAAUUAUAUGUUACCGUAUAUAAUAGGUUACAGGGAUUUAGAGUGAGAAGAAAGUCUCGAGAUGAAAUAAAGAAAAAUUGAUCAGUAGAUCAGAUCAAGUUUUGCCUCCCUGACAUCACAUCACCUCCCUAACUUGAAAAAUUUUUGCAGUUUUCAUUGUUCAAAUUGAGUAAUAUUUUGGUUUCCCUCUCCCUUCUUUAGGCAAAAAUCCAAAUGUAGAAUUCAAGAAACAAUUCCAUUCGUUUCAUUGAAAAUUUUCAAUCUUAAAAAUUACACCUUAGGAAUCAAGGAGAUCCAUUCCCAUCCUUGCUUAACUGGGCCUCAGCAUACUCCUUGAUCAAAUCGGGAUCUACAUUCUCUUCCGGCUCCCACGUGGCCUCAUCAAUAUCCGUCCACUUUACAAGAUACUCAUUCUUCCCAUCAUCGCCAACUCUCUUACCCAUCACUCCCUCCGCCACAGCAUACUCUAGUCCUCCCUCAAAAUCCUUCACUAAAUCCUCGCCGAUAAACUGGGCUUUCAUCCACUCAUUAUUACUCCCGUCCUUCCAUUUGACCAAAUACUCCACCUUAUCGCCCUUCCCUCUCCUCUCCAAUAUCUCCUGCACCUCCGCGUACUCGAAUAUUUCCUCGUCUAGAAU